GGAGGCGCGGCAGCGGCGGUGGCCGAGCUGCAGGCGCUGGCUGAGCGGAACCCCGGAGCGUGUCUGGGGUUGGGGGUGGGGGGCGGGGCUGAGCGGCCUGGGCAACCUGGCCUGGACGGGGCGGGGGAGGCCAUGGCCUCGGCAGAGUUGCAGGGGAAGUACCAGAAGCUGGCUCAGGAGUACUCGAAGCUUCGGGCUCAGAAUCAGGUCUUAAAAAAAGGUGUUGUGGAUGAGCAAGCAAAUUCUGCUGCUUUAAAGGAACAACUGAAAAUGAAGGAUCAGUCACUGAGGAAACUACAACAGGAAAUGGACAGUUUGACAUUUCGAAAUCUGCAGCUUGCCAAGAGGGUAGAACUACUUCAAGAUGAGCUAGCACUAAGUGAACCCCGAGGCAAGAAAAACAAGAAAAGUGGAGAAUCUUCUUCUCACUUGAGUCAAGAGCAGAAGAGUGUCUUUGAUGAAGAUCUACAAAAGAAGAUAGAAGAGAAUGAACGGUUGCAUAUACAGUUUUUCGAAGCCGAUGAGCAGCACAAGCAUGUGGAGGCAGAGCUGAGGAGUCGACUGGCUGCUCUGGAGACAGAAGCGGCCCAGCACCAAGCUGUGGUUGAUGGCCUGACACGGAAGUACAUGGAAACCAUUGAGAAACUGCAGAAUGACAAGGCUAAGCUAGAAGUAAAAUCUCAGACUCUAGAAAAGGAGGCCAAGGAAUGUCGACUUCGAACAGAAGAAUGUCAAUUACAGUUAAAGAAUCUUCAUGAAGAUUUGUCGGGUAGAUUAGAGGAAUCCUUAUUGAUCAUCAGUGAAAAAGUACCUUUUAAUGAUACAAAGUAUGAUCAGUAUAAUGCUCUCAAUGUUCCACUGCACAAUAGAAGACAUCAGCUGAAGCUGCGAGAUAUUGCGAGGCAGGCCCUGGCUUUUGUUCAAGAUCUUGUGACAGCUCUUCUGAAUUUUCACACUUACACAGAACAGAGGAUUCAGAUUUUUCCUGUUGAUUCUGCCAUAGACACUAUUUCACCAUUGAAUCAGAAGUUCUCACAAUACCUUCAUGAAAAUGCAUCCUAUGUCCGCCCUCUAGAGGAAGGAAUGCUUCAUUUAUUUGAAAGUAUUACUGAGGAUACUGUGACUGUCCUGGAGACAACUGUGAAAUUGAAAACCUUUUCAGAGCAUCUAGCUUCCUACGUAUGUUUCCUUAGGAAGAUUCUUCCUUAUCAGUUAAAAAGUUUAGAAGAAGAAUGUGAAUCUUCUCUUUGCACAUCUGUGUUAAGAGCCAGGAAUCUAGAGCUGUCCCAGGACAUGAAAAAGAUGACAGCGGUGUUUGAGAAGCUGCAGACUUACAUGACUCUUCUUGCCUUGCCAAGUACAGAGCCAGAUGGACUCCUUAGGACAAACUAUGGUUCUGUCUUAACAAAUGUUGGUGCUGCUCUGCAUGGAUUUCAGGAUGUCAUGAAAGAUAUCUCCAAACAUUAUAGUCAAAAAGCUACAAUAGAACAUGAACUUCCAACAGCAACACAGAAGUUGAUAACAACAAAUGACUGUAUCCUAUCAUCAGUAGUGGCAUUGACAAAUGCAGCAGGAAAGAUCGCGUCUUUCUUCAGCAACAACGUGGACCACUUUGUUGCCUCUCUGAGCUAUGGGCCUAAGACUGCGAGUGGGUUCAUUAGUCCUCAUUCAGCGGAGUGCAUGCUGCAGUACAAGAGGAAGGCUGCUGCCUACUUGAAGGCUGUGAGAAAGCCCCUUGUGGAGUCUGUGCCUUAUGAAGAAGCACUAGCCAACCGCCGGGUCCUUCUCAGCUCUACUGAAAGUCGAGAAGGCCUUGCACAGCAGGUUCAGCAGAGUUUGGAAAAGAUUUCUAAAUUGGAGCAAGAAAAAGAACAUUGGAUGUUGGAAGCACAGUUAGCCAAAAUCAAGCUAGAGAAGGAAAACCAACGAAUUGCAGAUAAACUGAAGAGUGCAAGUAGUGGGCAGCUGGUUGGGCCAGCCCAGGAAAAUGCUGUUGUGUCACACGCUACUGGCCAGGAGGAAGCUGCAGCUAAGGCUGUAUCAGAGCCCAUUCAGAGCACAAGUCUGAUUGGGAUUUUAACCAGGACAUCUGACAGCAAGGUUCCAGAUGUGGAAUCUCGUGAAGACUUAAUUAAAAAUCACUACAUGGCAAGGGUAGUGGAGCUUACAUCUCAGCUGCAGCUGGCUGACAGUAAGUCAGUGCAUUUUUAUUCUGAGUGCAGAGCACUCUCUAAAAGACUAGCCUUGGCUGAGAAGUCUAAAGAGGCAUUGGCAGAGGAGAUGAAACUGGCCAGUCAGAACAUUAGCAGACUUCAGGAUGAACUGACAACCACAAAGAGGAGUUAUGAGGAUCAGUUAAGUAUGAUGAGUGAUCACCUAUGCAGCAUGAAUGAGACGCUGUCUAAACAGAGAGAAGAGAUUGACACACUGAAGAUGUCCAGUAAGGGAAAUUCUAAAAAGAACAAGAGUCGAUAGUUUACAAAUAGCUGCUUGGUGACUGUCCCUUCCAGAACUACCACUGCUGCACAGAGCUGCCGGGCCGAGACUCCACGUCCAGUGCUGGCAGCCUUCAGAAGCUGAAGUGUUGCUGGACCCAGGAAACUAGUCAGUGUUGUCAAUGGCUUUGAGACACUUCAGAUAUAUUUGUAACCAAUACCGAGACCAGAAAAAGACCAACAGAGAUGUGACAAGUGAGUAAAGAUGUGAAGAAGAUGAGACAUCACUCAUGGACAUCUGUCCCUGGAGUCUGAAACAGCCAGGGGGUUGGUGCACUUGGAGUGGAGUGAGCUAGGCGAGUACUGGCAAGUGAAAUCAGAUAGGGGACAGAUAACUGUAACCCAAGGGUCUUGGUAGGCUUUGGCCUUGACUGUUUUGAGUGUUAAUGAUAUGCAUGUGGAGGGUUAGUGACAGAGGAGUGGUAUUACCUGACUUAUGUUUUAGUAGAAUUAUUAAAAUUCUAUGAACAGUUCUCUGUUGGGAGUAGAUUAUAGGGAAGCAGGGUGAAAAGAAGCAGUUAGUGGGCUACUGUACUAACCAGGAAGCUAUUCAGAGAUGACAUGGUGCAGUGGAAGUUGUGUGAAGUGUAGUUUUGGAUUUAUUUUGAAGAUUAAAUUGAUGGGAUCUUUGCUGAAAUAUUUACCUACAAUUACAACUCCUUCCUGCUAUACUUCUAUCACUUGUCUCUUUAUUCUACUCCUUACUUAUCAAAUAUAUGACAUAUUUGUUUAUUUAUCUACAUGUGAAGAUACGUCUCCAUGAUGACAGGUGCUUUUGUCUGGCUUAUUUACUGCUGCACUCCCUGGUCCCAGAACACUGCCUGGCAAUUAGUGAGUGAAUGUUUGUUGAGGGAAUGUUGAUUGUGGGUUGUGAGAGAAAAAGAGAAGUCCAAGAUAAAUCUAAGGACUUCAGCCUGAAUGAGCUUGACUGAGAAAGAGGACUGAGGGAGAAGCAACCAGCUUCUUGUAACUUAGGCAGGAGAACUUGGAAUCUCCUUACCUCGAACAUCUUAUUGGUUAUCUUGACUUAUUGAACAUUCCUGCCUUUGCAGUCUCUCUCACUUUGAAACUCUUUUCUCAAUACCUUAAAUUGAUUGCUGGCCAGAUCUAUUGUCUGAACUAUUCCUCUUGCUGUUCUCUAGUCCUCCCACUCCUGCCAGGUCAUGUUGCUAAAACAUAUCUCUGCAUAGCCAUUUUCCUGAUGGAUAGCCUUCAGAAUGGGUCCUCCUCAUUCCUGGGCAAUCUUCUGGUACUGUGCAGCUGUGAGAUGUGCACAGUCAUCCUUAACUCUCUUCCUCUGUGUUCUCUUCCACCCUCCAUCUUUAAGAAAUCUCUCAGGCCUCUGAGUCAGAUGUGAAACUUCUCUUGAACAGUGAGCCUGCUUUUCUCUUAGAACUUUGUGAAUCUUGGGAUUGCUUUCCUGUUUGCUUUGGAGUUGGAUCCCUGGCAAAAUGGUACCUUUUUGACAUUCCUGCUAAGAUCUUUGCUCUUUUGGCAGAGUCCUUUCCCAAGGCCUUGACAUGUACUGUUUUCCUUUAAGCCUCCUGACCAUCACAUCUCAUAAUACCAUUCUAAGACUGUUCCAGUCUUACAGAUAGAAACAAAGGUGUAGAGGAGCUAGGAUUCAGAUAUAGGCUAUUUUGCCUCUCGAGCUUCGGUUUUUCACUAUUGUAACAUGAGACUUUCAAAUUGGGACUUUUAUACUCCUUCAGGAACUAUGUAUCUGGAGGAUAAAAUAUUAAUUUCUCCAGUC
This is a non-coding RNA of Castor canadensis (American beaver), 4248 nucleotides long. The record is from RefSeq and is a predicted model, not a curated record. Lineage: Eukaryota; Metazoa; Chordata; Mammalia; Rodentia; Castoridae.